GCCUCCUUAGCUCAGUCGGUAGAGCAGAGGACUGUUAAUCCGCAGGUCACUGGUUCAAGUCCAGUAGGGGGAGCCA
RNAcentral lists this transfer RNA (76 nucleotides) under Vibrio parahaemolyticus. RNAcentral describes it as "tRNA-Asn". It matches the Rfam family "tRNA". From Rfam's summary of the family: Transfer RNA (tRNA) molecules are approximately 80 nucleotides in length. Lineage: Bacteria; Pseudomonadati; Pseudomonadota; Gammaproteobacteria; Vibrionales; Vibrionaceae. The record is from RNAcentral.